GGGCUUUUCAUGGCGGAAUCCCCUGCCUAUAUUGCGCGUGCCGGCUUCGUGCCGGCUAUGGCGAUAAACGGCCGAUGAAAUAAACCUUUCGGACCCGGGGGCGGUACCCGGCGCCUCCACCUGAACCCAUCCCCUCGCGGCGAUCCCGCGGCGAUGGGUUCAGGCGGGGGCGAAAUAGGAUCGACGAGGGUGUAAAGAUCGGACUUUUGCUCGGCAUGGUUCCGCCGUUAUCGGGCCUAUUUGUAGUUGCAAACGACAACUAUGCGGAAGCACGUCUCGCAGCGUAAGCUGCGCGAUCGCUUCAAUUUAAGCCCUGGAGGUUCGCACUUCUAGGCGGGGUCCGGAGGCACCUGGCAACAGAAGCCUCCACU
Molecule: non-coding RNA, 371 nt
Organism: Aurantimonas manganoxydans SI85-9A1
Lineage: Bacteria; Pseudomonadati; Pseudomonadota; Alphaproteobacteria; Hyphomicrobiales; Aurantimonadaceae
Rfam family: Alphaproteobacteria transfer-messenger RNA
About the family: Bacterial tmRNA, also known as 10Sa RNA or SsrA, is named for its dual tRNA and mRNA-like properties. Its role is to liberate the mRNA from a stalled ribosome.
Source: Rfam